Triticum aestivum (bread wheat) is the source of this 125-nucleotide non-coding RNA. The record is from Rfam. NCBI's taxonomy places the organism in Eukaryota, Viridiplantae, Streptophyta, Magnoliopsida, Poales, Poaceae.
CAAGUACUCCCUUCGUCCGGAAAUACUUGUCGGAGAAAUGCAUAAAAAUGGAUGUAUCAAGAACUAAAAUAUGUCUAGAUACAUCCAUUCCUCCGACAAGUAUUUUCGGACGGAGGGAGUAAUAU